This 74-nucleotide transfer RNA is filed under the name Thermoleophilaceae bacterium. RNAcentral describes it as "tRNA-Asp". It matches the Rfam family "tRNA". Rfam says of the family: Transfer RNA (tRNA) molecules are approximately 80 nucleotides in length. Their secondary structure includes four short double-helical elements and three loops (D, anti-codon, and T loops). Further hydrogen bonds mediate the characteristic L-shaped molecular structure. tRNAs have two regions of fundamental functional importance: the anti-codon, which is responsible for specific mRNA codon recognition, and the 3' end, to which the tRNAs corresponding amino acid is attached (by aminoacyl-tRNA synthetases). tRNAs cope with the degeneracy of the genetic code in two manners: having more than one tRNA (with a specific anti-codon) for a particular amino acid; and 'wobble' base-pairing, i.e. permitting non-standard base-pairing at the 3rd anti-codon position. The record is from RNAcentral. Lineage: Bacteria; Bacillati; Actinomycetota; Thermoleophilia; Thermoleophilales; Thermoleophilaceae.
GCGGGCGUAGCUCAGUUGGUUAGAGCGCCGGCCUGUCACGCCGGAGGUCGCGAGUUCGAGUCUCGUCGCUCGCG